GUCCAGCAUCUGUAUGAAUUACAUCUACAAAAUCUGCAUCUGUAGGGUCCAGACGAACAAUUGGAUCUGUCUUACUGAAGUGGGGUUCUGCUGGAUCAAGACCUAAAGAAUAAUAUUACUGGAAUACUCAAAUCAAGGUGCACGGAACAGAUGGGACACGUAGUGUGCAUGUUGGAGGUGAGAAAUAUGUACAACAUUUUUCUUUAGAAGACUGGAGGGAGGAGUCCAUUUGGAAGACCUAGGUGUAACUGGGAGGACUAUACUGAAAUGGAUGCUUGGGAAGUAUGAUUGCAAUGUGUGGAUUAUAUUAAUCUGACCCAGAAAAGGGAUUGCUUGUGCGUAUUUGUGAACACAGUAGUGCAUCUAAGUUCCAUAAAAGGAGGGGAAUAUCUUGACUAGCUAAGCACAACUUUUUUAUGUUUUUAAAACUAAAAUGUUAUUGUUUUAGGAAGAUGAUUUCAGAAUAAUACCAUCUAAGAAGACUUAUUAACCCUUCAAGAUUUAUUUGAACAAAUUACUUCCAAUUGGAAUUGUGUAGAUUUAUGUAAUAUUGAAGAUAAAGAAUAAUAUAAUUUUGAAAUUUGUUCCACUCUUGACAUACGGUGUCAUUUUGAUAUCUUCGUUCAUCAAAUAUAUAUAAAUGAAAAUCUGUUAUUAAAAUGUGCAAGGUUAACAGACGUUUCACACAUAAAAGCAAAUCGUGUUUUAUGUUAAGACGAAAUCGUAGACAACAAGAGUUCAAAAAAUAAAUUUUUUAAAGUUGUCAUACUGAAGUUUUCUGUGUUGAAUAAAGUUAGUUUUAAUCAUUUGAUGAAUGAUUUAAUAUUUAUUUAAGUUAUGUUUAAAAUAAUAAGCGCACAUAUCUGUCUUGAGAGGUACAAUUAGGCUGUUGUAAGUGGCGCUAACAGAAAUUUCUUAUUUAACACUAGAUAUUUUUGACAUACAGAUAUUGGUGCUUCUGCUUUGAGUCGUCUUAAUGUUGAUAUAUUCUGACCAGUUUAAUUUGUGCGGGCGUUAGAGUGCCGUGAUCCAAAGUUGUAGUGAAUGUGUAAUGAAAUUUAAGAAUGUGAGCCACAAUUAGGAUAAAAUAAUACGAAUAUUAGUGUGCAUGACGAAACAUUUGGUAGUAUGAUAUGAGUGUGAUAUGUGACAUACAAGAAAAAACCAAGAAUUAUCAUAGCUUACCAGCAUACUACACAGCAGAUAUGUACAGUGAUGGUGGCAAAUCUGGUAGCAAGAAAUGAAAAUGAGGUUCUUCAGCCCUGAAGAUGUAGGUAGUAUGUUUCUCUGAAACAGUGACAUCACAAACCAGAACGUCAACAAUAAACUGAAGAAUGUCUUUGAACAUUUUGCUGCAUUCUUCAUAAAGGUUUAAAACGUGCACUUACGACAGAAGGGUCCUUCUGCUCCAGUCAUCAUGAACAACUUGACAUGAGUCCGUGGUGGUGGAAGAUUAAGUGCCUGGAUGACCGAGGUUCAAUUCCAAACAGGAGCAAAAUAUUUUUCUUUUAUCUGCCAUGCCCAGACUGGCUAUGGGGCUCACCCAGUGUCCUAUCCAGUGAGUACAGAGAGUAAAAUGGACAGGGUUGAAGGCGACCGACCAUUCAUCUCCAUCCAUUGCAGCGAUCAAGAAUGGAGUUAUACCUCCUUAUGGCAUGGUGUUUAAUAAACACUAUGGAAACUUUAGAGUUUUAAUAUAAUUUGCUAUAAAAUUUAUGAAUAUGCUCUAAUUAUUUGUUCUGUUUACAAAUUUGAAAAGCAGUCACCAAGAAACUACAGAUUUCCAA
Molecule: non-coding RNA, 1787 nt
Organism: Zootermopsis nevadensis
Lineage: Eukaryota; Metazoa; Arthropoda; Insecta; Blattodea; Termopsidae
Source: RefSeq, a predicted model, not a curated record